GCGCGGGGACGACCCCGCGCCUCCCCAAGAAUUCGGUCGGGACGACCCGC
Molecule: non-coding RNA, 50 nt
Organism: Mesorhizobium loti
Lineage: Bacteria; Pseudomonadati; Pseudomonadota; Alphaproteobacteria; Hyphomicrobiales; Phyllobacteriaceae
Source: Rfam